Molecule: small nuclear RNA, 82 nt
Filed under: Heterocephalus glaber (naked mole-rat)
Lineage: Eukaryota; Metazoa; Chordata; Mammalia; Rodentia; Bathyergidae
Description: 7SK RNA
Rfam family: 7SK RNA
About the family: 7SK was discovered as an abundant small nuclear RNA in the mid-70s but a possible function has only recently been suggested. Two independent studies have found that 7SK RNA binds the CDK9/cyclin T complex (known as elongation factor P-TEFb).
Source: Rfam by way of RNAcentral
ACAGUCUGGCUGCAACAUCUGUCACCCCACUGACUGCCAGGAUUGAUUUGGCUGAUCUGGCUGGGUGUCUGCUUCCUCCCUU